GACGAACGCUGGCGGCGUGCUUAACACAUGCAAGUCGAACGGAAAGGCCCUGCUUUUGUGGGGUGCUCGAGUGGCGAACGGGUGAGUAACACGUGAGUAACCUGCCCUUGACUUUGGGAUAACUUCAGGAAACUGGGGCUAAUACCGGAUAGGAGCUCCUGCUGCAUGGUGGGGGUUGGAAAGUUUCGGCGGUUGGGGAUGGACUCGCGGCUUAUCAGCUUGUUGGUGGGGUAGUGGCUUACCAAGGCUUUGACGGGUAGCCGGCCUGAGAGGGUGACCGGCCACAUUGGGACUGAGAUACGGCCCAGACUCCUACGGGAGGCAGCAGUGGGGAAUAUUGCACAAUGGGCGGAAGCCUGAUGCAGCAACGCCGCGUGCGGGAUGACGGCCUUCGGGUUGUAAACCGCUUUCGCCUGUGACGAAGCGUGAGUGACGGUAAUGGGUAAAGAAGCACCGGCUAACUACGUGCCAGCAGCCGCGGUGAUACGUAGGGUGCGAGCGUUGUCCGGAUUUAUUGGGCGUAAAGGGCUCGUAGGUGGUUGAUCGCGUCGGAAGUGUAAUCUUGGGGCUUAACCCUGAGCGUGCUUUCGAUACGGGUUGACUUGAGGAAGGUAGGGGAGAAUGGAAUUCCUGGUGGAGCGGUGGAAUGCGCAGAUAUCAGGAGGAACACCAGUGGCGAAGGCGGUUCUCUGGGCCUUUCCUGACGCUGAGGAGCGAAAGCGUGGGGAGCGAACAGGCUUAGAUACCCUGGUAGUCCACGCUGUAAACGGUGGGUACUAGGUGUGGGGUCCAUUCCACGGGUUCCGUGCCGUAGCUAACGCUUUAAGUACCCCGCCUGGGGAGUACGGCCGCAAGGCUAAAACUCAAAGGAAUUGACGGGGCCCCGCACAAGCGGCGGAGCAUGCGGAUUAAUUCGAUGCAACGCGUAGAACCUUACCUGGGUUUGACAUGGAUCGGGAGUGCUCAGAGAUGGGUGUGCCUCUUUUGGGGUCGGUUCACAGGUGGUGCAUGCCUGUCGUCAGCUCGUGUCGUGAGAUGUUGGGUUAAGUCCCGCAACGAGCGCAACCCUUGUUCACUGUUGCCAGCACGUUAUGGUGGGGACUCAGUGGAGACCGCCGGGGUCAACUCGGAGGAAGGUGGGGAUGACGUCAAGUCAUCAUGCCCCUUAUGUCCAGGGCUUCACGCAUGCUACAAUGGCUGGUACAGAGAGUGGCGAGCCUGUGAGGGUGAGCGAAUCUCGGAAAGCCGGUCUCAGUUCGGAUUGGGGUCUGCAACUCGACCUCAUGAAGUGGGAGUCGCUAGUAAUCGCAGAUCAGCAACGCUGCGCCAUUACGGGUCCCGGGGCU
This 1346-nucleotide ribosomal RNA is filed under the name uncultured bacterium. RNAcentral describes it as "partial 16S ribosomal RNA". It matches the Rfam family "Bacterial small subunit ribosomal RNA", at positions 28 to 1381 of the family's 1533-position model. The record is from RNAcentral.